AUAUUCUGUUGGCAGUAACAAUAAAAUUGCUCAAUACUGAUCUGUUCUUAUCAGUUUAAUAUCUGAUACGUCUCCUAUCCGGGGACCAUAUAUUAAAUUGAUUUUUGGAACUGGGAGAUGGAAUAGGGGCUUGCACCGUCCACUCCAUGCAUCGACCUGGUAUUGCAGUACCUCCAGGAACGGUGCACCCCCA
Small nuclear RNA from Phyllopteryx taeniolatus (common seadragon), 193 nucleotides. RefSeq annotates it as U2 spliceosomal RNA. Lineage: Eukaryota; Metazoa; Chordata; Actinopteri; Syngnathiformes; Syngnathidae. The record is from RefSeq and is a predicted model, not a curated record. The transcript has a single exon.